GUGGAUGUAGAAAAUAAUAAAAGUAACAUGAACCUGUAGUCGGUGAAGGCAGCGUGAUAGACGUGCUUUACGUAGAAGUCACGUGAUUACGUCAACAAAAACAAACAUGGCGCCGCGAAAGUGAGGAAAAGUCUGCUAUGGUCAGUCAGACACACCCUGACACUGAAGCAUCACUCAGGAGAGUUUAACCUCCUCUGUGAGGUCCACGUCCUGUCGGUCUCAGAGCCCAGUAUUCCCAGGAAGUCCCGCACCCCACCCAGAGAGAUCAGCAACCUGCAAGGUUCCUAAAUUCUCAGAGACGGACGGAGAACAGACUGGGCAGAGUCACAGUCGCUGUAUAAGUCCAGCGUUUGGCAGGACCGGACGACGACAGGAGAUUCGUCUCGAUGUGCAGAAAUGCUCAGAGUCUGUGAGUCCUUGUCCUGUUACCCAAAGUCCUUCUCAGAGUCUGAGGCUGGACGGCGAGACUGAUCACCAUCAAGACAUUAGGUCUAACGAGCCGUCCAAGUCGGGUACGCUGAAACAUUACGGAGGUUUUCUCUCAGCUGGACGACCAGUUUACCAGACUGCAACACCUCCUGUUUGUUGAACUGAGCGAAAGAUUUACGUCUUCUGUGGGAACCAGUGGGUUCAGAGCUGAGAGUCACAGACAGGAAGACAGAACGUGUUGAGCCUUUGUGAAGACUCACCUGUUCACUGCAGUUUCGGUCAUGACCCAAAGUUCAUGACCAUAGGUGAGGGUGGGAACGUAGAUUGACUGGUAAAUUGAGAUCUUCACCUUACGGCUCAGCUCUCUCUUUACCACGACGGACCGAUACAACGACCGCAUUACUGCUGUCGCUGCGCCAAAGUUUAUCUGUUCAGCUCAAGAGUUGUUUCACACGUCCUCAGAUCACCCAUGUGGUAUUUUUCACCAUAUUAUGCAGAGUCCCAGAAAACUGUUUUUAACCAGUUGAAACUGAAAACUGCAAAGGCUGCCUGCAAGCUUCUUUCAUCCAGCACCUCCUGAAUGGAGCAGGUAGCAAAGAGAUGUGUGAGAUGUAAUAUUUACACCACGCUUAAGCAGACUUCAGUUAAAUUUACAGACCUUUUCUAAAUGCUAACCAGGCUGUUUUUGGUUUUAAGAAGCUCGGGCUUCAGGUGACUGGAGUCUCCUUAGUUAGUGUCUGGCAAUUUAUUAGCUAUUGACUUUAUGAUUGGUAAUGAUCUGUUAUAUUUCUGUGCUUAACUGUGAAUUGGAGAUGAAGUCCUGAAAAAUAGAAAACGGUAGCUUUUCAAUAUUAUUCAGUCUCAGCACUUUGAAGCACAUGAGGACAAGAUUUUUGCACAUAAAACUCUCAAAACUCACAAAAAGUCUCUUUAAUGUGGAAUUGGUCAAAUUUGACUAUGUUUGUUGUAUGCGUUGCUACUUCUCACAAAAACAUGCAAAUGCGUGGCUUAUUUUUUUUGUUCCUCAGUCCAAAUGGGUUAUUUUUUUCCCCUUGUGUGUCACCAGUAUGUUUAGUGUAUGUGAAAGCGGAUAUUUUGGUGAAUGUGGAUUAAGGUGCAGCGCCACCCGGCGGUGACACGCAGACAGUACGCAGCCAGUAUCUCGCACUGAGAAAGUGGGACGAGUUGCGUUUCUGUCAGCACUGACUCAGUGACAACGACAGUCGGAAAUAAUGGGAAAGUGUUUCUACAUGAGCUCCUAAUUGCUCUCCAAAAUGAACUUCAGCAGGACUUUCAGACUCUCCUGAAAGUUAAGCCGUCCCGCUCUUCUCUCGGCUUAUUAAACUGCUUGUUGAGGUUAAAGAAGGAUCGUGAUUGGAUAUUAUUUGAUUCGACUCGGGCUCCAGCUGCUGUUGUAGCAACAUAUUUGAUCAGUUUCAGAUCUGGUCUGGGCGC
Molecule: long non-coding RNA, 1884 nt
Organism: Scatophagus argus
Lineage: Eukaryota; Metazoa; Chordata; Actinopteri; Scatophagidae
Exons: 3
Source: RefSeq, a predicted model, not a curated record